GAACCCUUCACUAAAAGAGGACUAUGAUCCUCGCGGGUUUAAACAAAUUCUCCCUUACCCGCGUGAACUUAAGCAUAUCUAUAAGCGGAGGAAAAAAAACUAACAAGGAUUCCCCUAGUAACGGCGAGAGAGGCGGGAACAGCUCAAAUAUGAAACCUGGCGUCCUUAGCGCGUCCGGAUUGUAUUCUAGAGAAGCGUCUUCUACGCUGGGCCACGUAUAAGUGCCCUGGAACGGGCUGUCAUAGAGGGUGAGAAUCCCGUCCUUGACGUGGGCUACCAGUGUUUUUGUGAUGCGCUUUCUAAGAGUCGAGUUGUUUGGGAAUGCAGCUCAAAGUGGGUGGUAAAUUCCAUCUAAAGCUAAAUAUUGGCCUGAGACCGAUAGCGAACAAGUACCGUGAGGGAAAGAUGAAAAGCACUUUGAAAAGAGAGUCAAACAGUACGUGAAAUUGCUGAAAGGGAAACGCUUGAAGUCAGUCGCGCCCCCUGGAAUUCAGCCCUGCUUUUGUAGGGUGUACUUUCCAGGGGGCGGGCCAACAUCAGUUUUGACCGGCAGAUAAAGGCUGGGGGAAUGUGGCUCCUUCGGGAGUGUUAUAGCCCCUGGUCACAUAUGCCGGUUGGGACUGAGGAACGCAGCGCGCCCUUGUGGCAGGCCUUCGGGCACUUUCGCGCUUAGGAUGUUGGCAUAAUGGCUUUAAGCGACCCGUCUUGAAACACGG
Molecule: ribosomal RNA, 716 nt
Filed under: uncultured fungus
Lineage: Eukaryota; Fungi
Description: eukaryotic LSU rRNA
Rfam family: Eukaryotic large subunit ribosomal RNA
Source: RNAcentral